Molecule: small nuclear RNA, 99 nt
Filed under: Urocitellus parryii (Arctic ground squirrel)
Lineage: Eukaryota; Metazoa; Chordata; Mammalia; Rodentia; Sciuridae
Source: RNAcentral
GUGCUUGCUUUGGCAGCACAUAUACUAAGGAUACAGAGAAGAUUAGCAUGGCCCCUGCACAAGGAUGACACGCAAAUUUGGGAAGUGUUUCCUAUUUUU